Molecule: ribosomal RNA, 609 nt
Filed under: uncultured Fibrobacter sp.
Lineage: Bacteria; Pseudomonadati; Fibrobacterota; Fibrobacteria; Fibrobacterales; Fibrobacteraceae
Description: bacterial SSU rRNA
Rfam family: Bacterial small subunit ribosomal RNA
Source: RNAcentral
CCAAGGCGACGAUCGGUAGCCGGCCUGAGAGGGUGAUCGGCCACAUUGGGACUGAGAUACGGCCCAGACUCCUACGGGAGGCAGCAGUAGGGAAUAUUGCACAAUGGGGGAAACCCUGAUGCAGCAACGCCACGUGUGGGAAGAAGCAUUUCGGUGUGUAAACCACUGUCAUGAGGGAAUAAGGCCCGCCUCCGGACGGGAUUGAAUGUACCUUGAGAGGAAGCACCGGCAAACUUCGUGCCAGCAGCCGCGGUAAUACGAGGGGUGCAAGCGUUGUUCGGAAUUACUGGGCGUAAAGGGAGCGUAGGCGGAGAUUCAAGCGGAUUGUACAAUCCCGGGGCCCAACCCCGGCUCUGCAGUCCGAACUGGAUCUCUUGGAUAGUUCAGGGGCAGGCGGAAUUCCUGGUGUAGCGGUGGAAUGCGUAGAGAUCAGGAAGAACACCGAUGGCGAAGGCAGCCUGCUGGGGACUCAUCGACGCUGAGGCUCGAAAGUGCGGGUAGCAAACAGGAUUAGAUACCCUGGUAGUCCGCACCGUAACCAAUGCAUACUGGGUGUCCGGGGGUUCCCCCGGGUACCGUAGCCAACGCGUUAAGUAUGCCGCCUGGGGA